Molecule: ribosomal RNA, 253 nt
Filed under: uncultured bacterium
Lineage: Bacteria
Description: partial 16S ribosomal RNA
Rfam family: Bacterial small subunit ribosomal RNA
Source: RNAcentral
UACGAAGGGGGCUAGCGUUGUUCGGAAUUACUGGGCGUAAAGCGCACGUAGGCGGAUAUUUAAGUCAGGGGUGAAAUCCCGGGGCUCAACCCCGGAACUGCCUUUGAUACUGGGUAUCUGGAGUAUGGAAGAGGUGAGUGGAAUUCCGAGUGUAGAGGUGAAAUUCGUAGAUAUUGGGAAGAACACCGGUGGCGAAGGCGGCUCUCUGGACCGAUACUGACGCUGAGGCGCGAAAGCGUGGGUAGCGAACAGG